This is a long non-coding RNA of Lathyrus oleraceus (garden pea), 967 nucleotides long. RefSeq lists it as uncharacterized. The record is from RefSeq and is a predicted model, not a curated record. The transcript is spliced from 2 exons. Lineage: Eukaryota; Viridiplantae; Streptophyta; Magnoliopsida; Fabales; Fabaceae.
CACAUACACUGAAAACCAGAGGGCUACGAAAAUGUUCACUUAAAAAGCUACAAACGCGAAUUAACACUUCUGAGCUAAAAGCGUUUUUUUUUAAAUAAGAUCAGAUCAACAAGUGAUCUUGAAUCUUAGCUUUAGCAUCAUCGCGUUAGCAUCCCGGGUCACUGUGCUAACAUCGCAUCCUGGAGCAUCAAUUCACGUUUCUUACUCUUUUGCAUCACUUCGUUCAAAAUCAUCAUCACGCUCACGCCAUUCCCUCAUCCGUUAAAAAUUCAAAAGUUCACAAAUUCCAUUGGCUCUGAUAUCGUAUGUACGCAAACAGAAGGGGAAAAUGUCGAAAUCGGAUCGAAAAAACUCACUGGAUUGAAGCUCCGAUUACGAACAGAUACAAUAUGGGAGCCACUCGGUUGAGAUGUCCAACACACCCCAUCAUGUGAAGAGAUUAGAUGCAAAUGGCCCAAGCGGUUCAGUGGUUGCUCCUCUAAGGCUUUCCAUCGAUUCAACAAUGCCUAACAUAUUAUGUGUAUUCAAUUUCUGUCUCCUAGGAACUCUCGCUUUAAGUGAAUGUAAUGAUGACGAUAAUGGUUUUGAAAUCUAAAUGAGCAAGAGGAUCUCAAUCUUCAAGCAUAGGCAUCUUGAAAAACACAUCAUAACCUUUGAAAGCCUUGGAGAAUCAUUUCUGACUUUCCAUUGGUUGGAAUUGAAUUGACUUUGGGAUGCCUUUGGAUUACGUUGAAAUGCAAUGGAUUUAAUGCUACUCUAUUAUGAUUAUUGCAGGCUGGAUGUUAUCAUGGAGCUAUUGUGGUUUGGAAUAUGAUCAUAGGCCAUGUGAAUUUGGAUUGUAAUUUUUGUAAUUUGAAAUUGGAUCAUGUUGUAAUUUUUGUAAUUUAAGAUUGAAAUAUGAAUGUUGGUUUGUUGUAUUUGAAUUUGUGAAUGAAAUGUGAAAUUGAAUGGAACAAUUUGAAUUGAA